RNAcentral lists this ribosomal RNA (301 nucleotides) under uncultured bacterium. RNAcentral's name for it is "partial 16S ribosomal RNA". It matches the Rfam family "Bacterial small subunit ribosomal RNA", at positions 509 to 809 of the family's 1533-position model. The record is from RNAcentral.
CAGCAGCCGCGGGAAUACAGAGGGUGCGAGCGUUAAUCGGAUUUACUGGGCGUAAAGCGUGCGUAGGCGGCUUUUUAAGUCGGAUGUGAAAUCCCUGAGCUUAACUUAGGAAUUGCAUUCGAUACUGGGAAGCUAGAGUAUGGGAGAGGAUGGUAGAAUUCCAGGUGUAGCGGUGAAAUGCGUAGAGACCUGGAGGAAUACCGAUGGCGAAGGCAGCCAUCUGGCCUAAUACUGACGCUGAGGUACGAAAGCAUGGGGAGCAAACAGGAUUAGAUACCCCUGUAGUCCCUGUCUCUUAUAA